ACCGUUUCCUGUGGCUGCAGCUCUCCCCACCCACACACCCUCGAGGGCCACAACCGGUUAGGUUUUGUUUCUCUGAGCACAGCGCCUUCGCGCGUUGUAAGUGCACAGUAAGUUUGCUGAAAGAAUGAGGACUGCUCUCCUCCCCUUUCUGCCCCACUUGUAAGUGAAAAAGGGGAAGAAAGAGAAUAUUGUUCAGUUGAUUAUGCCAGCCAGAUGCAGCCGCCGCCGCUCCACUGUCACUCUCCAAGGCCAGCGCCACCUCUCACUCACCGAGCUCCAGCCGAAGGAGAAGGGGGGUAAGUAAGGAGGUCUCUGUACCAUGACUCGUACAAAGCAGUAAAGAACCCAGGAAGCAACUGGCUACGAAAGCCGCUCGCAAAAGUGCGCCCUCUACUGGAGGGGUGAAGAAACCUCAUCGUUACAGGCCUGGUACUGUGACACUCGGUGAUAUUAGACAUUAUCAGAAGUCCACUGAACUUCUGAUUCGCAAACUUCCCUUCUAGGGUCUGGUGCGAGAAAUCGCUUAGCACUUUAAAACAGAUCUGCGCUUUCAGAGCUCAGCUGUCGGUACUUUGCAGGAGGCAGGUGAGGAUUAUCUGGUUGGCCUUUUUGAAGACAACAACCUGUGUGCUAUCCAUGCCAAACGUGUAACAAUUAUGCCAAAAGACAUGCAGCUAGCACGCCGCAUACGUGGAGAACGUGCUUAAGAAUCCAC
This 715-nucleotide long non-coding RNA is filed under the name Homo sapiens (human). RNAcentral's name for it is "HSALNT0290799". Lineage: Eukaryota; Metazoa; Chordata; Mammalia; Primates; Hominidae. The record is from RNAcentral.